AAGAGCUUUAAAAAAAAAAAAAGAAAAGAAAAAAAAAGAAAAAAAGAGCUUCAUGAAGGUGGGAGUGGCCAAAUACCACCAAGUUAAAUAAGACAAAAAGUAGAUUUAAAAGACAGUCCCUGAAAAGAGAGCGAGAGAGAGAGAGAGAAAAUAACAAGAAGCAGCUCUUUAACUAUAGAGAACUAACUGAUGGUUACAAGAAGGGAGGUGGGGAGGGGUUGGGUGAAAUAGGUGAUGGGGCUUAAGGAGGGCACUAAUGAGCACAAGGUGAUUAAAAUAAAAACAGGGAAGGAAGGAAGUGCUCCCAAUGAGUUCUCUCUUUUAUUUUUUUAAAGAUUUUAUUUAUUUAAGAGACACCCAGAGAGAGAGAGGCAGAGACAUAAGCAGAGAGAGAAGCAGGCUUCCCACUGAGUAGGGAGCCUGAUGUGGGACUCAAUCCCAGGAUCCCAGGAUCAUGACCAGAGACAAAGGCAGACACCCAAUCACUGAGCCACCCAGGCACCUGAGGAGUUCCAGUGUUGCUGGGCGACAGGAAAGUCAUUGCCAUACAGCACAGGACACCAGGCAAGUGCAGGGAGCUCCUCUCUGGGAGGAGUCUGGAAAACAAGAACAGACACAGAAAGGUUCUGCAGGUGGCGGAGGUCCACAGGCACAAAGUUCCAGGAAAUGCCCAAGUCAGCACUGGCUGCCACGUGCUAGAAACACCCGAGGUCAGACGCGGAAGUUAGCACAGCAAGAACAUUGCCUGAGCCGUGGGUUCAAGAAGGGACCCAGAGAAGAGCCAUCAGCAGGUGGACCACGGGCCAUCUUCCUGGCUGCAGCCAGCCACGUCUCCUGCCCCGAGCGGAGGACGGGCACGCUGCACCCCUCCCAGGAGCGCCAGUGCCAGGGCUCCAGUCCACGACGCAGUCCUGGCAGGAAGAAUCGGCCGCCCCGGGCUGGCGUCCUUCCCAGGAGAAGCCAGAGCAGAUCCUCUGGAGCCGAAGGGGCACAUUUCAGGUGCACUUCUCACCUGUGAGCAAGGGCUCAUUAGCCAAACCAUCAUCUUCCCACACCCAUCGUCAGACCAACUUAAAAAUAACCUGAGCUGCCUCCCCACCCUCUCACACGGAGCGCAAGUCGCCUCCUGCUCCGACGGAACCCACCCCAGCCUGGCCCUCUGGACCCCGCACCACCCGCACCAUCCGCACGUUCCUCCUAGCGAGGGGGGCGAUACACUUCCAGGGCACCACGUCCGCUCCUUCUCCGACCUCACUAGCUUCACCUUCCUCAGUUUCCUUUGCAGAUUCCUUCUCUUUAACUUGACCUUUCAGAGCUGGAGCGCCCCAGUUCUCAGCCCUUAAUCUCGGCCUCCUCCCUGUCUACGUGCACUUCCUUUGUGACCUCAACAAGCCUCAUGUCUUUCACUAUCAUCCAAUCACUGAAAAAUACCACAUGUGGAUCGCUACCCCUGGGACACAGUCUCGUCUUGGAUAUCCUCCUUGGCAUCUCCACUUGGGUAUCUCGAGGCAUCUCCAGCUUAACAUGCUUGGAACUGAAUUAGUGUUUCCCCCCUACCCCCCCACACCCAGUCCUCCUGCAAUCUACUCCCGGAUCAGUUAAUGGCAACUGGAUCCUGAUCCUCCAACAGCUCAGACCAAAUAUCUCCAAGUCAUUGUGACUCCUCCCUUCCCCUCACAGUCCACUUCAAGUCUCAUCUACCAGCAAAUCCUUCAGUUCGACCUCCAACAGAUUACCCUGAAUCUCACCCUUUCUCACUGCUUCUACCCCCAAAACACCACGAACUGAGCCACCCCAUGUCUUGCUUGGAUUACUGAGAUAGCCUCCUACCUGGAAUCUGCUUCAACCCUGUUCCAAACAGCAGCCAGAAUGAGCCUCUAAAAAGUGUUAAACCGGGCAACCCGGGUGGCUCAGCGGUUUAGCGCCGCCUUCAGCCCAGGGCAUGAUCCUGGAGACCUGGGAUCGAGUCCCACAUCGGGCUCCCUGCGUGGAGCCUGCUUCUCCCUCUGCCUGUGUCUCAGCCUCUCUCUCUCUCUCUGUGUCUCUCAUGAAUAAAUAAAUAAAAUCUUAAAAGAAAAAAGUAUUA
Molecule: long non-coding RNA, 2086 nt
Filed under: Vulpes vulpes (red fox)
Lineage: Eukaryota; Metazoa; Chordata; Mammalia; Carnivora; Canidae
Description: lncRNA (ENSVVUG00000014894.1)
Source: RNAcentral